AUAGUAAAGAACAUUUCCUAUCAUCUUCCCUACUCAAAUAAGUGUAUACGCGAGAGCUGCUUCAGCCUUAUGAUUACAUAUCUUUGUUUCACACAAAACACCAAAAAUAUUAUAGAUCUUUUGGAAAAGUGCUUUUCCACACAGUAUGCUGGCAGAUUUCAGAGAGUGUCUGGAUUUCUAAUUCACAAAAGUUCUAGAAAUCUUUUCUGAAGAGCCUGAGUAGAUUUGAUCCUUUGGCGCUCAGUCACUCCCAGUUAUUUUCCUAGAAGUAGGUCUGUCGUAAACAGUGUUGGGUAGUAACGGAUUACAUGUAACGACGUUACGUAAUUUAAUUACAAAAAAUGAGUAACUGUAAUUCGUUACAGUUACAAUGAGAAAAUAUGUAAUUCAGUUACAGUUACUUCCGAAAAUAUUAAGAAUUACAAAUUUAGUUACAUUUAAAAAAAAAUAUGAACAAAAACCUUUGCGAAAUAUGUAAUGAUAUUUUUAUUGCUUUGCGCCCUAUAUCGCCGUUUCCCGCUACGGCUCCUUGUCUCUAUCAUAUUUGCCAGCCGCAAUGCCACUCUGAUGAUCCGUCCUGUGCUGGCGGAGCCUCCUGGAGGAACAGCAAGCGAGCGGACGGUUCCAUUUCAGCUCAAGCAGCGCAUCAAAAAUGACAGCCUUCCAGCACUGGAAAUAUAAGGAGCAUUUCAUUUACAUAUGUGAAAAUGGCUCAAAUUUAACCGUGCAGUGCAAGAAGUGUUUGCCGGCUAUCAAGAACUUGUCCACGUCGAAGCAAUCUAUGUCAAACCAGAGGAAACAUUUAGAGAGGAAGCAUCCAGGCGUUCUUCUGAAAGGCACGUUUAGUCCAUCUGAUACUCGGGAAGUAUCCACAGUGUCCACAGUUGUUUUGCUUGUCUAACACAGUGAUUGUGUGAUUUUGGAAAACUAUUGUUUUUCCCGUUUUGAUUUUGAAUGAUAUGUUGCAAACACUUCUAUUUUUGUCAACAUUCCAUUGACUGUUAAAUGUUCAAUGACUAACUUGACUACCCAUCGUCCAUCUUAAUUCUUGAUGCACUGUAUUAUGCCGUGUUUAAUUUUACAAGCAAGGGUGUGCAAAGAAAAAAUCAAGAAAAAUAAAAUGUGAUGUAAAAGUCUUA
Molecule: long non-coding RNA, 1139 nt
Organism: Xiphophorus hellerii (green swordtail)
Lineage: Eukaryota; Metazoa; Chordata; Actinopteri; Cyprinodontiformes; Poeciliidae
Exons: 2
Source: RefSeq, a predicted model, not a curated record